This is a long non-coding RNA of Scylla paramamosain (green mud crab), 1541 nucleotides long. RefSeq lists it as uncharacterized. The transcript is spliced from 4 exons. The record is from RefSeq and is a predicted model, not a curated record. Lineage: Eukaryota; Metazoa; Arthropoda; Malacostraca; Decapoda; Portunidae.
UCCUCCUCCUCCUCUUCCUAGUCGUCCUGCUGGGCUGCUUCCUUGCCUCCUCUCAGUCUUCCUGGGGAUCUCAACGGCGCCUCAUCUCCCUCCCUCUCCUCUCUCCUGCAAGAUGCACGCGGUCUCCUGGUGUGUGGUGGUGGCGUGCGUGGUCGGCGUGGUGGUGGCGGCUCCCAGCGGCGGGGUGGUCGAGAAGUCGGUGGCAGUCGAGACUCAUCCCCUCCCUCAGCAAGGCUCCGUUAUCCACACACACCAUAAAAGUCACACUAUCGAUCCUGCCUUCCGGGACUCUGAAUUCUACAAGGCCAUGGACCAGGCCGGAGCCAACCUGUUCAAGGGCCUGGGUGACGCCGCCCUUUCCCUGGGUAGCUUCCUCUCUCGCCUGGCAGGGGGCAACCGUCAACAUUAGUUUGUCCGUCAGAAGCAGCCCACGCGGUAAGGAACAAGUCUCUGCUGCGUAGUCUGUAGAAGGGACGUAUGUGGGUGUCUUCCUGUGGGCGGCGCUGACGGCGGUGCUGCGCGGGAUCUCCUCUUGUGUUUGUUACUACUAACCAUUAACUUAAGCACGGCCAGUCGCGGGCAUGAAGUUCUCUAGGAUGUAUUGAAGUACUAAUACUAUAGAUUACUGUCCAUGAAGCGCGUCGCAAUACUGGUUACGUUGUAGGGAGAGCGACUGUCAUCCAUUGAUUAUUUACACAAUGUGCUGGAGUAGAAUACAAAAUGGAGCUACAAUACAUUUGAUCAGUGAGUUAUGUGGCGUGUGGAAGAAAGUUAUUGGAGCCUUGUAAAGGAGAGGUAUUCAAGAGAUGCAAUGAUUAUUUUAACUGCUAUUGGGGAUACCUGUUCAAUUUUAUAAACGAGACCCGUUCGAGAGACGUAAUGAUCAAUAGAACUGUUAUUGGUCAUAUUAGUUCAGCCUUGUAAAGGAGAGGUAUUCCGGAGAUAUAAUGAUUGAUAUAACUGCUACUGGCGUUAGAUAUUUUUUUUUCAGUUUUAUAAAGGAGAGCUAUUCAAGAAACAUUGACUAAUAUAACUGAAUCCCAGACACCUCCUCAGAUCAAACCUGGCAACACACUCUAGCAAGCCUUUAAAUUUUGUCCUAUGUAUAUGCAAUGUAUUUAAACCUGUGUACUUAAGGACACAAAAUAGGCAGUAUCAUGAAAUUCUGUUUCAAUGCUGUGAGAAAGUUUUUAUUACAAUAUUCACACAGUUGAUAUUUAAAUACGUGUUGAAGUCGUCUUUUAAUACACCACUGGUCAUGUCUGAGUAUAGGCACGGACAACACUCCUCAAUUUAAGCCUGACGUUGUAGAGAAAUCAAAUCAAAUCGACAAAAAUAUAUUCCAGCCUGUUAUUUACAUUUUUUUUCUCACUGGAACGCGAAACUAACACGAUCUUAGUUGGUAGUGAGUGCUGGAACAAGUGUCAUCACCACCACCACCAUCGCCAUCACCAGUCUGGAGUUGCAUAGCGUAGAUCGAGAGCUGCCUGUGCUUGGUUUGUGUAUUGUUGUGUUUUGUAUGAUUAAAACCACUGAAUCAA